Molecule: ribosomal RNA, 476 nt
Filed under: uncultured bacterium
Lineage: Bacteria
Description: bacterial SSU rRNA
Rfam family: Bacterial small subunit ribosomal RNA
Source: RNAcentral
ACUCCGUACGGGAGGCAGCAGUAGGGAAUCUUCCACAAUGGGCGCAAGCCUGAUGGAGCAACACCGCGUGAGUGAAGAAGGGUUUCGGCUCGUAAAAGCUCUGUUGUUAAAGAAGAACACGUAUGAGAGUAACUGUUCAUACGUUGACGGUAUUUAACCAGAAAGUCACGGCUAACUACGUGCCAGCAGCCGCGGUAAUACGUAGGUGGCAAGCGUUAUCCGGAUUUAUUGGGCGUAAAGAGAGUGCAGGCGGUUUUCUAAGUCUGAUGUGAAAGCCUUCGGCUUAACCGGAGAAGUGCAUCGGAAACUGGAUAACUUGAGUGCAGAAGAGGGUAGUGGAACUCCAUGUGUAGCGGUGGAAUGCGUAGAUAUAUGGAAGAACACCAGUGGCGAACGGCGGCUACCUGGUCUGCAACUGACGCUGAGACUCGAAAGCAUGGGUAGCGAACAGGAUUAGAUACCCUGGUAGGAUAGCG